GCCCAAACCAACAAGCUUGCUUGUUGGGGUUGUAGGACUCCAAUAUGGUAGUCUGUUAGUAUAGUUGAAGGAUUUGGAAAAUUCCGCUAAAGAGGGUGAAAGCCCCGUAGACGAAAUGCUAACAACACCUAGGAGGAUCCUGAGUACGGCGGAACACGAGAAAUUCCGUCGGAAUCCGCGGGGACCAUCCCGCAAGGCUAAAUACUCCCUAGUGACCGAUAGUGAACCAGUACCGUGAGGGAAAGGUGAAAAGCACCCCGGAAGGGGAGUGAAAUAGAUCCUGAAACCGUGUGCCUACAACAAGUCAAAGCUCGUUAAUGAGUGAUGGCGUGCCUUUUGUAGAAUGAACCGGCGAGUUACGAUUGCAUGCGAGGUUAAGUCGAAGAGACGGAGCCGCAGCGAAAGCGAGUCUGAAUAGGGCGAAUGAGUAUGUAGUCGUAGACCCGAAACCAUGUGAUCUACCCAUGUCCAGGUUGAAGGUGCGGUAAAACGCACUGGAGGACCGAACCCACGUACGUUGAAAAGUGCGGGGAUGAGGUGUGGGUAGCGGAGAAAUUCCAAACGAACUUGGAGAUAGCUGGUUCUCUCCGAAAUAGCUUUAGGGCUAGCCUCGGAAUUGAGAAUGAUGGAGGUAGAGCACUGUUUGGACUAGGGGCCCAUCUCGGGUUACCGAAUUCAGAUAAACUCCGAAUGCCAUUCAUUUAUAUCCGGGAGUCAGACUGCGAGUGAUAAGAUCCGUAGUCGAAAGGGAAACAGCCCAGACCACCAGCUAAGGUCCCAAAAUAUAUGUUAAGUGGAAAAGGAUGUGGGGUUGCACAGACAACUAGGAUGUUGGCUUAGAAGCAGCCACCAUUUAAAGAGUGCGUAAUAGCUCACUAGUCGAGUGACCCUGCGCCGAAAAUGUACCGGGGCUAAACAUAUUACCGAAGCUGUGGACUACACCAUUAGGUGUAGUGGUAGGAGAGCGUUCUAAGGGCGUUGAAGGUCGAUCGUGAGGACGGCUGGAGCGCUUAGAAGUGAGAAUGCCGGUAUGAGUAGCGAAAGACAGGUGAGAAUCCUGUCCACCGUAUGACUAAGGUUUCCUGGGGAAGGCUCGUCCGCCCAGGGUUAGUCGGGACCUAAGCCGAGGCCGAUAGGCGUAGGCGAUGGACAACAGGUUGAUAUUCCU
RNAcentral lists this ribosomal RNA (1168 nucleotides) under Enterococcus faecalis. Its description in RNAcentral is "partial 23S ribosomal RNA". It matches the Rfam family "Bacterial large subunit ribosomal RNA", at positions 267 to 1440 of the family's 2925-position model. The record is from RNAcentral. Lineage: Bacteria; Bacillati; Bacillota; Bacilli; Lactobacillales; Enterococcaceae.